Dermochelys coriacea (leatherback sea turtle) is the source of this 2156-nucleotide long non-coding RNA. RefSeq lists it as uncharacterized. The transcript has 3 exons. The record is from RefSeq and is a predicted model, not a curated record. NCBI's taxonomy places the organism in Eukaryota, Metazoa, Chordata, Testudines, Dermochelyidae.
GUUUACAUCCAGAUAUCGCGAGAGCCAUCGUGAGACCCCCCCCCCGACGCACGUGCAGGGAGGAAAAGCCCAGGAUCCUGUCAGUCACGGACCAACAGCCAAUCAGAAGGAAAGGCCUUCGACCCCGCCCACAUCAAGGCAUUAGAAUCCUAUUUUACCGUCCGCUUCGGCGGUACGUAAUCCCGGAAGUGGCCUGGCUGAGGCAACAAAACCAAGGCCCCGGCUGGGUCCGCUCGUCUCCGGCCCAGAGCGCGUAGACGCCGCCCCGCAUCCUGGCGGGCGGGAUGAGGCGAACGAAGAGCGGCGAGGCCUGGGCACGGAAAGGGGGUGCCCCGGCAGGACGCACCCCCCCACCCCGCGGACAGGGAGCUGCCCUGUCAUAACGGGACAGGCCGGCCGGGCCAGAGCCGCCCGAGCAGCCCAGACGCGUGUUUGGGCGGGACACAGCUCCACCCGCUACGCCCAGGACGGUCCUGGGCUAGUGUCCCCCGUGCCCGGGAGCAGCGCGGCCACUGCAGGCAGCCCAACGAAACAUCAGUUAGCAAGACCGGCUGCGGAGACAUCAGGGCUAAAAUGGCCACUCGGCCUGAAGGGGGUUUUCGCCCACGAAAGCUUAGGCUCAAAUAAAUUUGUUAGGCUCUGAGGUGCCACAAGUCCUCCUGUUCUUUUUGCUUAUACAGACUAACACGGCUGCUCCUCUGAAAGCAUCCUGGUUGAUUAGGCAAUAGAUGUCCUUCUCCCGUCCGUAAAUAAAUUCUGGAAUCACCCUCCCUGGGAACAUGCUGUGUGCAAAACAAAAACCCGACAAACGCUGCCUUCAGAUGGCAUACUCCAACUUUCUCACGACAGUCUUGUCACGAGAGAGCUGUGUGAUACAGCUUGGAAAUAAAAUGUCAUGCACAGAACAAGCAGUUGCAUCCCCUUCCCAUACAUUUACAAGAUGACGGCAACUCUUGUAGAGCCACGUGUCACCCAUAAGGAAACUUCAUACUCAGAAACAGCAAAUGACAAUACCACAAGUUUGCAUCAUCCAGAAGGAUUCAAUUGUAUGAUUACUGAUCUAUAUCAUUAGUUACAAGAGUGAAUUUAAGUUAGGCCCUUGACAGAAAAAGAAGAGGAGAGGGUCCCUAACGAACAGAUAGAGUGUUUCUCAAAUGUAGCCACAUGUGGCCACCAGGGGGUUUUCUUACAGCCACCGACCCCUGGAAUUGGCAGGCAAGCAGCAGCCCCUCCCCUGGGGCUGCCAGCAGUGGUUGGGCCGUGGUCACCUCUGAGGAAGACAGCAAAACUGAAGGAACAGACAGCUAAUGAUGAACAGAUUGGUGUACAGUCAAGGAAGAUUCCCCCAACACCAUGCUGGCAUAAACCUUUGAGGUUUCUUUAUCUCCCUCUGAAGCACUGAAUAGGGACUACAAAAAUCAGCUGAGGGCUUACAGCCCUUUUUUGCAAAAGCAAAAAAAGAAGGAUUAAUACUAAUGGAGAGGAGGAGGAGGAGCAGCAGCAGCAGGAGAGGCCCUCACUUUAAUGACUUGGUUGUCCAAUGAAAAUGAGUGUGCAUAUCCGCCCAUCCUAAUGGACAGAGAAGCUUUUCAGUUUUCCAUAGUUUAAUAUGCAUGUUUAAUUCUGAUUAUUAGAAACCUGUAAGGGGGGGGGGAUGAAGCCUGGGACUUAAGGCAAAGAAAACAUUAGGACAGGUUAACAGUACUCUAGAGCAGCGGUUCUCAACCUGUGAGUCAGGACCCCCAAGGGCUGGCGUUACACGUUCUAGGGCUGAAGCUGAAGCCCGAGCCCCAGCGCCUGGUGCUGAAGCUGAAGCCCAAAAGCUUCAGCCUUAGGUGAUGGUGCUCAGGUUACAGAUCGCCCACCUGGGGCUGACGCCCUUGAACUUUGGCUUCUUCCCCUCUUCCUGGGCGGUGGGGCUCGGGCGGGCUCAGGCUUCAGUCCCCCCUUGUGGGGUCAUGUAGUAAUUUUUGUUAUCAGAGGGGGGUCAUGGUGCAAUGAAGUUUGAGAACCCCUGCUCUAGAAGAUCUAAAGCAAAAAACUUGCUCAAGGUAGCUUUUUCUCACAAAAACUUCCUUUUAACAGCUGUAUCACUUAUAUGAUUGCCAAAGCAUGAUCCAUAGUCACAUAAAAUGCUUCAGUUCAAAACAAGAGAA